GACGAACGCUGGCGGCGUGCUUAACACAUGCAAGUCGAACGGAAAGGCCCUGCUUUUGUGGGGUGCUCGAGUGGCGAACGGGUGAGUAACACGUGAGUAACCUGCCCUUGACUUUGGGAUAACUUCAGGAAACUGGGGCUAAUACCGGAUAGGAGCUCCUGCUGCAUGGUGGGGGUUGGAAAGUUUCGGCGGUUGGGGAUGGACUCGCGGCUUAUCAGCUUGUUGGUGGGGUAGUGGCUUACCAAGGCUUGGACGGGUAGCCGGCCUGAGAGGGUGACCGGCCACAUUGGGACUGAGAUGCGGCCCAGACUCCUACGGGAGGCAGCAGUGGGGAAUAUUGCACGAUGGGCGGAAGCCUGAUGCAGCAACGCCGCGUGCGGGAUGACGGCCUUCGGGUUGUAAACCGCUUGCGCCUGUGACGAAGCGUGAGUGACGGUAAUGGGUAAAGAAGCACCGGCUAACUACGUG
This 468-nucleotide ribosomal RNA is filed under the name uncultured bacterium. RNAcentral describes it as "partial 16S ribosomal RNA". It matches the Rfam family "Bacterial small subunit ribosomal RNA", at positions 28 to 507 of the family's 1533-position model. The record is from RNAcentral.